RNAcentral lists this ribosomal RNA (292 nucleotides) under uncultured bacterium. Its description in RNAcentral is "partial 16S ribosomal RNA". It matches the Rfam family "Bacterial small subunit ribosomal RNA", at positions 505 to 796 of the family's 1533-position model. The record is from RNAcentral.
GUGUCAGCCGCCGCGGUAAGACAGAGGUGGCAAGCGUUGUCCGGAAUUACUGGGCGUAAAGAGCGCGUAGGUGGAUAGAUAAGUCCGGUGUGAAAUCCUUCGGCUUAACCGAGGAAUGGCAUCGGGGACUGUAUAGCUAGAGGACGGGAGAGGAGAGCGGAAUUCCAGGUGUAGCGGUGAAAUGCGUAGAGAUCGGGAGGAAGGCCGGUGGCGAAGGCGGCUCUCUGGAACGUCCCUGACGCUGAGGCGCGAAAGCGUGGGGAGCAAACAGGAUUAGAUACCCUCGUAGUCC